This 253-nucleotide ribosomal RNA is filed under the name uncultured bacterium. Its description in RNAcentral is "partial 16S ribosomal RNA". It matches the Rfam family "Bacterial small subunit ribosomal RNA", at positions 524 to 776 of the family's 1533-position model. The record is from RNAcentral.
UACGGAGGGCGCAAGCGUUGUUCGGAAUCACUGGGCGUAAAGCGCGUGUAGGCGGCUUGGCAAGUCGGGUGUGAAAGCCCGGGGCCUAACCCCGGAACUGCAUUCGAAACUGCCUCGCUCGAGUCCCGGAGAGGAUGGUGGAAUUCCCGGUGUAGUGGUGAAAUACGUAGAUAUCGGGAGGAACACCAGCGGCGAAGGCGGCCAUCUGGACGGUGACUGACGCUGAGACGAGAAAGCGUGGGGAGCAAACAGG